RNAcentral lists this ribosomal RNA (460 nucleotides) under uncultured bacterium. RNAcentral's name for it is "partial 16S ribosomal RNA". It matches the Rfam family "Bacterial small subunit ribosomal RNA", at positions 338 to 795 of the family's 1533-position model. The record is from RNAcentral.
CCUACGGGAGGCAGCAGUGAGGAAUAUUGGUCAAUGGCCGGAAGGCUGAACCAGCCAUGCCGCGUGAAGGUCAGUGCCCUAUGGGCGUUAAACUUCUUUUGUGCGGGAGCAAUAAUGGUCACGUGUGGCCAGACGAGAGUACCGUACGAAUAAGCAUCGGCUAACUCCGUGCCCGCAGCCGCGGUAAUACGGGAGAUGCAAGCGUUAUCCGGAGUUAUUGGGUUUAAAGGGUGCGUAGGCUGUGAGGUAAGUCAGCGGUGAAAUGCCCCCGCUCAAAGGGGUGAAGUGCCAUUGAUACUGCCUUGCUGGAAGGCGGAUGCGGUGGGAGGAAUGUGUGGUGUAGCGGUGAAAUGCAUAGAUAUCACACAGAACACCGAUUGCGAAGGCAUCUCACGAAUCCGCGAUUGACGCUGAUGCACGAAAGCGUGGGUAUCAAACAGGAUUAGAUACCCUAGUAGUC